CAGCAACAGAAGUUCUGCAUUUGAGUCUUAGCUGAUUGGAACAGCAGGGGAGACAGUGAAAUUAGUAACAGGCAAAGAGAUGCUCCACGUUGGUCUUCAUCAUCAUUUAAAAAAUUGCCUUUUGAGUGGAAGGGGAAGACGUGUUUUAAAAAGAACUUAACUUGUGUAAGCAAAUCCAGGGCUGCCACUUGAGAGUGCAGUUCUGCAGAGAAACACCUAAAGGAGAAGCUUCAUCUGAAGUGGCCUUGACCACCUUCCUCCCUGGGUGCUUCCUACCACCACAUUAACAGCGAUGAUCCAAUGGUGACGUGAUGGACCGUGACCGGAGUGGUGCGUCUCGGUGCUGUGAUGCAGGCCCAGUCAUCUCCCUCAGAAAGUCAUUCCCUGUGCAUGGCUGGCCUGAGCCAACUUACUCCGUGGCAACGUGCCCAUUGUUUGCUGUGAAUUUAGAACCUGAAGCUAAGGAUGAAAGCCCUUGUCAGCUGUGCAGCCACAGCGAAACAGAAGAGCAGGAGCUGCAUCAUGAGGGUUCGCCAGCACGGAUUCGUGUCUUGUGACGCGCGCGUGGACUCCAAGGCGACUUACAUUGAUAAGGCUUUAAGAAUGGCUUAUUAUCAUAGUUACACAGGCAGUGAGCCAGAGUCAGCUCGCUCUGACUAAUACGGGUGGUCUUUCUUGUUAACGUUUUGGUCAACUAUCUAAGGGGAUGCAAGGAAGUAGAAAGAAACCAUUUUGAAUAUUAAUGAACGAGGGAAAAUCACCGCUCAUCAGAUUACAAAGCCCGCACUCAUUCUGGUGAGCAGCAGCAAGAAGACGUUCCUACGUCUGCUUAGGCAGCAGAGGGAUAUUCCCUAUGGAAGUACGGGGGGCUCUAACAGUCCUGUCUCCUGUGGACGUUUGCGUUUUCAGUGCAUUUAUUUACAUUAGGGUUGUUUGUGCUGUAUUAUGCCUGAUUGAACCAAAGUCUCUUGGAGAGCAAAGCGCUUUUAUUUUGACAUUUUCACAUGGAAGUCAGCCAUCACCCCUAUAAGGAGAGUAAGC
Molecule: long non-coding RNA, 1041 nt
Filed under: Anser brachyrhynchus (Pink-footed goose)
Lineage: Eukaryota; Metazoa; Chordata; Aves; Anseriformes; Anatidae
Description: lncRNA (ENSABRG00000015605.1)
Source: RNAcentral